GGAAGGAUCAUUAUUAUUGAAUACCGCCCGAGGUCUUCGGACCACGUGCGAAAUGCAUCUAUGCAAACCCACCCUGUGUACCUUACCAAGUAACCAAACACACCGAGCAACUGGGGCAAGAGAUUGCCACACGUUGCGAGCGAGCUGUUGUCACAUAAACUCUUAAACCAUUGCCUGUCUGAACAUUUGUUUUUAAUUGAAUAUUAAAACUUUCAACAACGGAUCUCUUGGUUCUCGCAUCGAUGAAGAACGCAGCGAAAUGCGAUAAGUAGUGUGAAUUGCAGAAUUCAGUGAAUCAUCGAAUCUUUGAACGCACAUUGCGCCCCCUGGCAUUCCGGGAGGCAUGCCUGUUCGAGCGUCGUCAAGACAAAAAUUCGGGUCCUUUUUUCUCUGGACCUGGUAUUGGUGGAGGAGGGGCGCCUUCGGGCACCCUCCCCGCACAAAUCCAUCGGCGGGAGAGUCGGGACAGUCGGUGGCGUAGUAAAUUCUAUCGCCGCGGUUGUCUGCAGCCCUAGCCGUAUCAACCAACCCCCAUUAUAACUUUUUAGUCCUCGGAUCAGGUAGGGAUACCCGCUGAACUUAAGCAUAUCAAUAAGCGGAGGAAAAGAAACCAACAGGGAUUGCCUUAGUAACUGCGAGUGAAGCGGCAAAAGCUCAAAUUUGAAAUCUGGCGUCUUC
RNAcentral lists this ribosomal RNA (678 nucleotides) under Sowerbyella rhenana. RNAcentral's name for it is "eukaryotic LSU rRNA". The stretch from base 208 to 361 matches the Rfam family "5.8S ribosomal RNA". Lineage: Eukaryota; Fungi; Ascomycota; Pezizomycetes; Pezizales; Pyronemataceae. The record is from RNAcentral.